RNAcentral lists this ribosomal RNA (515 nucleotides) under uncultured bacterium. Its description in RNAcentral is "partial 16S ribosomal RNA". It matches the Rfam family "Bacterial small subunit ribosomal RNA", at positions 28 to 523 of the family's 1533-position model. The record is from RNAcentral.
GAUGAACGCUGGCGGCGUGCCUAAUACAUGCAUGUCGAGCGAAUGGAUUAAGAGCUUGCUCUUAUGAAGUUAGCGGCGGACGGGUGAGUAACACGUGGGUAACCUGCCCAUAAGACUGGGAUAACUCCGGGAAACCGGGGCUAAUACCGGAUAACAUUUUGAACCGCAUGGUUCGAAAUUGAAAGGCGGCUUCGGCUGUCACUUAUGGAUGGACCCGCGUCGCAUUAGCUAGUUGGUGAGGUAACGGCUCACCAAGGCAACGAUGCGUAGCCGACCGGAGAGGGUGAUCGGCCACACUGGGACUGAGACACGGCCCAGACUCCUACGGGAGGCAGCAGUAGGGAAUCUUCCGCAAUGGACGAAAGUCUGACGGAGCAACGCCGCGUGAGUGAUGAAGGCUUUCGGGUCGUAAAACUCUGUUGUUAGGGAAGAGCAAGUGCUAGUUGAAUAAGCUGGCACCUUGACGGUACCUAACCAGAAAGCCACGGCUAACUACGUGCCAGCCGCCGCGGUAA